UUCACUUUCCUUCUUAAGGCCUUGUUUGGCACUGGAGUAUUUGAGGGGAUUUGCGGGGAUUAUCCCGGCCCGUUCUAAAAUCCCCACUUUUCCCCGAAUCGACGUUUGGUGCUAGCGUUUUGGGGCAAAAAAUCCCCGCUCAUCCCGGCCCAUCCCCGACUCUAAUCCAAUUUUUGCCUGAGACUAAAUCCACGCCCCUACCCUCGCGUAUUAUCCCCGUCCCCGUCUCGCCCCCGUCCAAAUCCCAUCGACAGAGCUUCACGCGACCGGCGGUGAGCGGAGCGGCGGCGAGCUAAGGUUCACGCGACCGGCGGCGAGCGAAGCGGCCGCGGGAGAGGCGGAGCAUCUUACCGGCGGGAGGGGAUGGAUCCCGCCUAGCAACUCCACAUCAGAUCGCCGCCGUUCUUGGACUCCCACCGGCACCGCCGUUCUUGGAGUCCAACCGGCGCUGCCGUCUACUGCGGUUCCUCUCCGGGACGGUGAGUAUUGCGGUUCCUCUUGCGCGUGCAGCUGCCUGCCGGUUCGCUAGCUAUCUACAUGAUGCUCCAGAUCCGGUCAAAAAUAGUUGCAUGUGCAUCUCAUCCCUCUCUGUGCAGCGAUGGUGCUUGACGCCAAAUAAGGUGAUAGUUCAUUGGUCGACUGUGCGUGCAGCUCGCUCUACAUCUCUUGCCAAAUUGGUGUGGGUAUAUUUAGUAAGCAUGGAUCAACUUAAUAUAUAGUAGUACAAAUUUAACAUGGCCUGCUCAUUUGGAUGGAUUAGUUUCUAGAAUUCAUUGACUAUAUAUCAACUCCCAAUUUUGACAAUUCACUAAAAAAUGUUAGUACCCUUCUCCUAAAACUCUGAACUUCUAAACUCCUGUUAAGGUAAAGUUGCAUGAAUAGUUAGCUACAGUUCUGUAAAUAUACUUAUUGUUGUGAUAGUUCCUGUUUGUUUUUCUGUAGUUCACUGACAGCAUAUAGCAAAAAGUAAGUUUGACAUGUUUUUCUGUUUUAGGCAGAACACUUCCCAUUGUCUGAAGAUUGGUGUUGAAAGCCUGAAGGUUUGUCUGCAGAGGAACUGAUAUGUGAAGCCUUAUGAGACACUUGCAGAUCUAUUUGGUUUCAUUUAUAUAUCUUGCAGUGUGCAUCUUUAUUUACAACACUUAUAUUUACUGAAUGACCUGACGUGAGCAUCAUGUAAUGAUUCGAAUUUACCCUGCUUAAUUCUACUGUAUAAACAUGUCUAGUUGUUUUUGGUAUCCUUGCAAGUCGUGUCUCAAUUCCAUUGUGUAUGAAUGGAUUUAUACUUGACUGUGUCGUCAUUUAUAUUCAUGAAAAACAUUCCAGUUUGGUAAUUAGCCUGAUAUUAGUCUGGAGAAAUAACAUUGCUCGGAAUAGUUGUGUGAAAUAACGCUUGUAGUUAAACUAUUACAUGAUUAGUUGGCUGCAGAAAACUACAAACAUACACAGACUUGUAUAUGCUUUUCUAAAACUGAGUCCGUAGUGUGAUUUAUAUCUCGAGUCUAGAUGUGCCAUGUCUGCCGGUUUCUCAAGUAUGUAGUUGGAAUGUGUCAUUCUCGUUACUUUGGACCUCACAAGUCAGAUGUGAAUGCGCACUUGUAUGUUUCUGAAGAAGUGAAGGUAACAUUUCCAUCAGUUUCAUUUUGCAUGUACUGCACCUUUUUUUUCUCCAGUAGGACCAUACAUGUGAGCGUUAGACACUGGUGACGAAACAACCCCCUUCUAUCUUAUCAUCUAAAUAACAAUUUUAGUUCAUUUGUUUCAUAUAUGCUUUUCUAAAACUGAGUCUGUACUGUGAUUGAUAUCUUAAGGUUUUGUAUCCUAUAUUUCUGAUUUGUCCGUUUCAUAUUUCAGAUCGGAUCAGCUUCAGGAUGUAAUUUGAGUUUGCAUUUGCUAAUGCCUGUUGUACCAAUCGGCUCCUAUGAGUAAUUUUGUAAUUCAAGAUUCAGGCAGCUUCAGAGUUUGUUAUAGUGUGUGGCUUGUCAAUUUUAUUGUAUGCUGAACAUCAAGUAUGUUGCCACGUUCAGGGUUCAAAUCCAGAGUGACAUAUGAUUUAUUUCAAGACUGUUCAUGACUUGAUCUAGCUGAUGUACUCCUUCAGACCAUACUAGUGUUAAUAUUUAACGUGUAUUGAAACUCAAAAGUUGCGGUGUGCAUAUGAUAUAAAAAUUGAAUCUUUUCUUA
Long non-coding RNA from Lolium perenne, 2184 nucleotides. RefSeq lists it as uncharacterized. The record is from RefSeq and is a predicted model, not a curated record. NCBI's taxonomy places the organism in Eukaryota, Viridiplantae, Streptophyta, Magnoliopsida, Poales, Poaceae.